This 59-nucleotide microRNA precursor is filed under the name Bos taurus (domestic cattle). RNAcentral's name for it is "Bta-Mir-2299_pre stem-loop". Lineage: Eukaryota; Metazoa; Chordata; Mammalia; Artiodactyla; Bovidae. The record is from RNAcentral.
ACUGGAUUCAUUUCUCUGAAAGUGGAUUUUGUGGUCUGUCCGGGGAAUGGAUCCAGCGU